AGAGUUUGAUCCUGGCUCAGGACGAACGCUGGCGGGAUGCUUAAUACAUGCAAGUCGAACGAGGCCUUCGGGUCUAGUGGCGGACGGGUGAGUAACGCGUAGAUAACCUACCUUUUACUGGGGGAUAACAUCUGGAAACGGGUGCUAAUACCGCAUAAGUACAUGGCUGAGAUGUUGUGUAUAAAAGAUUUAUUGGUAAGAGAUGGGUCUGCGUUGGAUUAGCUAGUUGGUGGGGUAAAGGCUUACCAAGGCGAUGAUCCAUAGUUGGUCUGAGAGGAUGACCAGCCACAGUGGGACUGAGACACGGCCCACACUCCUACGGGAGGCAGCAGUAGGGAAUAUUGCGCAAUGGGCGAAAGCCUGACGCAGCAAUCCCGCGUGGUGGAUGAAGGAUUUCGGUCUGUAAACACCUGUCGGUGGGGAAGAUAAUGACGGUACCCACAGAGGAAGCACCGGCUAACUACGUGCCAGCAGCCGCGGUAAUACGUAGGGUGCGAGCGUUGUCCGGAAUUAUUGGGCGUAAAGCGUCCGUAGGCGGUUAGAUAAGUUUGGCGUUAAAGGCGCGGGCUCAACCCGUGUAGUGCGUUGAAAACUGUCUGACUAGAGUAUAGUAGGGGAAGCUGGGAUUCUUGGUGUAGCGGUGAAAUGCGUAGAUAUCAAGAGGAACACCCGUAGCGAAAGCGGGCUUCUGGGCUAUUACUGACGCUAAUGGACGAAAGCCAAGGUAGCGAAAGGGAUUAGAUACCCCUGUAGUCUUGGCCGUAAACGAUGAGUAUUAGGUGUUGGGGGAAUCGACCCCUUCAGUGCCGUAGCUAACGCGUUAAAUACUCCGCCUGGGGAGUACGGCCGCAAGGUUGAAACUCAAAGGAAUUGACGGGGACCCGCACAAGCGGUGGAACAUGUGGUUUAAUUCGAUGCAACGCGAAGAACCUUACCUGGGCUUGACAUCCUUAGAAUCUUGACGAAAGUUGAGAGUGCCCGCAAGGGAGCUAAGAGACAGGUGGUGCACGGUUGUCGUCAGCUCGUGUCGUGAGAUGUUGGGUUAAGUCCCGCAACGAGCGCAACCCACGUGGUUAGUUGUUACAGGUCGUAGGAUGCUGAACCCUCUAGCCAGACUGCCGGUGACAAGCCGGAGGAAGGUGUGGAUGACGUCAAAUCAUCAUGCCCCUUAUGUCCAGGGCUACACACGUGUUACAAUGGGAUGGGACAAUAAGAUGCUUGACUGCGAAGUUUGGCUAAUCUCUAAACCCACCCUCAGUUCGGAUCGUAGUCUGCAACUCGACUACGUGAAGCUGGAAUCGCUAGUAAGUGCAGAUCAGCACGCUGCAUUGAAUACGUUCCCGGGUCUUGUACACACCGCCCGUCACACCACGAAAGAGGGUCAUGCCCGAAGUUACUGAGCUAACCGUUUACGGAGGCAGGUACCUAAGGUAGGGC
Molecule: ribosomal RNA, 1437 nt
Filed under: metagenome
Description: bacterial SSU rRNA
Rfam family: Bacterial small subunit ribosomal RNA
Source: RNAcentral